Molecule: ribosomal RNA, 468 nt
Filed under: uncultured bacterium
Lineage: Bacteria
Description: partial 16S ribosomal RNA
Rfam family: Bacterial small subunit ribosomal RNA
Source: RNAcentral
GACGAACGCUGGCGGCGUGCUUAACACAUGCAAGUCGAACGGAAAGGCCCUGCUUUUGUGGGGUGCUCGAGUGGCGAACGGGUGAGUAACACGUGAGUAACCUGCCCUUGACUUUGGGAUAACUUCAGGAAACUGGGGCUAAUACCGGAUAGGAGCUCCUGCUGCAUGGUGGGGGUUGAAAAGUUUCGGCGGUUGGGGAUGGACUCGCGGCUUAUCAGCUUGUUGGUGGGGUAGUGGCUUACCAAGGCUUUGACGGGUAGCCGGCCUGAGAGGGUGACCGGCCACAUUGGGACUGAGAUACGGCCCAGACUCCUACGGGAGGCAGCAGUGGGGAAUAUUGCACAAUGGGCGGAAGCCUGAUGCAGCAACGCCGCGUGCGGGAUGACGGCCUUCGGGUUUUAAACCGCUUUCGCCUGUGACGAAGCGUGAGUGGCGGUAAUGGGUAAAGAAGCACCGGCUAACUACGUG